This 64-nucleotide transfer RNA is filed under the name Pleuropoma jana. Its description in RNAcentral is "tRNA-Leu". The record is from RNAcentral. Lineage: Eukaryota; Metazoa; Mollusca; Gastropoda; Cycloneritida; Helicinidae.
GUUAGAGUGGCAGAAAGUGUAUCAAUUUUAGAAGUUGCUAAUGAUUAAUUUAAAUCCUUUAAUA